CACCUCUAGCAUAACAAUUAUUAGAGGCACUGCCUGCCCAGUGACAUAUGUUUAACGGCCGCGGUACCCUGACCGUGCAAAGGUAGCAUAAUCAUUUGUUCUCUAACUAAGGACUUGCAUGAAAGGCUUAACGAGGAUUUUACUGUCUCCUACUUCCAAUCAGUGAAAUUGACCCCCCCGUGAAGAGGCGGGGAUAAACCUAUAAGACGAGAAGACCCUAUGGAGCUUAAAUUAACUAGCCUAAUUGCACCCACACCCACCCAACAGGAAAAACCACCAACAACCUAGGCUAGCAAUUUCGGUUGGGGUGACCUCGGAGCAUAAACAAACCUCCGAAUGACUAAUCACUUAGACCUAACUAGUCAACAUACUUCAAUAUCACUAAUUGACCCAAGCAAUUGAUCAAUGGAACAAGUUACCCUAGGGAUAACAGCGCAAUCCUAUUUCAGAGUCCAUAUCGACAAUAGGGUUUACGACCUCGAUGUUGGAUCAGGACAUCCAAAUGGCGCAACAGCUAUUAACGGUUCGUUUGUUCAACGAUUAAAGUCCUACGU
Molecule: ribosomal RNA, 554 nt
Filed under: Choloepus hoffmanni (Hoffmann's two-fingered sloth)
Lineage: Eukaryota; Metazoa; Chordata; Mammalia; Pilosa; Megalonychidae
Description: partial 16S ribosomal RNA
Rfam family: Bacterial large subunit ribosomal RNA
Source: RNAcentral